AUAAAGUGAGAACAGAGAAAAAGAAACAGGGAACUCAGUGGAUAUGGCAACAAUGAGGUCACUGAAGGCCUGCACAGUUACUAUAGAGGGUGUGAGAGCAAAAAACAGACUACUCUGAGACGCUCCUGAAAGAGUGAAUCAUUUGAAACAGGCUUUAACUUUUUUCUCAUAUAUAUGAAGUUAACAAAGAGAUGGCAACAUGUGCUUCUAUGAAGAGUAAUUAGGAAGAAUUAAAAUGAAGCAGAUGGACUUCUGUUUCCAGUCAUGAUGAAGUGAUUUAUCUAUCUUCAUUAUUUUGGACCCAAUUGCUCAGCAUGGUAAUUUAUACUCCACAGUACCUGAGAGUUCCUGUUGCUGCACAAUCCUGCCUACACUUGGCACUGGGUAGAUGAAAUAAGUGCACAUGCAAAUUCUGCAUCUUCUUUAACCUUAGAAGAUCCUGC
This is a long non-coding RNA of Hyaena hyaena (striped hyena), 443 nucleotides long. RefSeq lists it as uncharacterized. The transcript has 4 exons. Lineage: Eukaryota; Metazoa; Chordata; Mammalia; Carnivora; Hyaenidae. The record is from RefSeq and is a predicted model, not a curated record.